This 426-nucleotide ribosomal RNA is filed under the name uncultured bacterium. RNAcentral's name for it is "partial 16S ribosomal RNA". It matches the Rfam family "Bacterial small subunit ribosomal RNA", at positions 354 to 796 of the family's 1533-position model. The record is from RNAcentral.
GUGAGGAAUUUUCCGCAAUGGGCGAAAGCCUGACGGAGCAAUGCCGCGUGAAGGAUGAAGGCCUAUGGGUUGUAAACUUCUUUUCUCAGAAAAGAAUUAUGACGGUAUCUGAGGAAUAAGCAUCGGCUAACUCUGUGCCAGCAGCCGCGGUAAGACAGAGGAUGCACGCGUUAUCCGGAAUGAUUGGGCGUAAAGCGUCUGUAGGUUGUUUAAAAAGUAUUCUGUCAAAGAUUAGGGCUUAACCCUAGAUAGGCAGAAUAAACUUUUAAGCUAGAGUUUGGUAGAGGCAGAGGGAAUUCCCGGUGGAGCGGUGAAAUGCGUAGAUAUCGGGAGGAACACCAAAGGCGAAGGCACUCUGCUGGGCCAAUACUAACACUGAGAGACGAAAGCGAGGGGAGCAAAUGGGAUUAGAAACCCUGGUAGUCC